GCCUCGAUUCGGUAAGUACACAGGUAGGUGGUUUAGUGUGUCUCUCUCUACCUCAAGUAGCCGCAACCCGAACCGUACGAGAAGUUAAGGUAGAACGGCGUCGAAUUCGUUUUCUACUUCCUUAGUUUCGAUUUCUUCUAACGGUAGUUAUCACUGUAACUCCUAAAGUCCUCCCUCCGGCUUAACGACGUUAGAGCUGAACUUCUACCGAUGAGGGCCGUACUUCCACGGGUGUUUCGGUUCGACGACCACUAGUUACCCUUAGAGUUUCAGAACACAGUUCUAUGCUUGCUGACGUAGGUGGCCAAGGACGCUUCCCCUAGAUACCUCUCGACGUGCCUGAAGCGUUUCUUCUAGUUUUCUAAGUUUCUUUUUCAGAUGUUUGAUUCGUUCGUGUGGUCUCUUGAGUACCUAAGCAAGUUUCUCGUCGUGGAACUUGCGGGAACAGUCAUACAAUGAAGGUCGCUCAAGCACCCGUCCGUACUUGCGGAACGACUCGACGUCCUCGAACAUGUACUAGAUGGGUCGACGUUCGUCCUCCUCGGGUUCCACUAGAGUUAGCAACCGAAACGACCGGAUCCGUUCUGGGAAGAACGGUUGCUUAAGAUAUUAUCGUUCCUUCGGGAGCGCUUUAAGGUAGUGGCCCGGACCCAAUGACUGCGACCGUCGGUACUCCUCCAACAGUUCUUGUAUGAGUACCUUUAACUGUUUCCUCCGUUGGUACGACUCCUACGGGACCUGGAGGUCGCGGAGACGGUGUCGGACGCCUUAAAGGAUUUUUGCCGGUGACUCAUGAAUUAACAUUAGCUACUGUACUUCUCCACCUUCUACACCUUGCUAUAUUUUAUAUGGAAGUUCUUACACUUUCCGUAUCAGGAACACUGCUGUUGGUAAGUCCUUCAUCGAUUGUGAACGUCGGUUCCGUGAUUACCAAUACACAUGUCCAACAGUGGGGAACUAUUCCUCCUCAGAAAUUUCGACAAGUGUUAUCUUACACCAGUAUUUCCCCUAGGGCCAGUACGUCUAAGAGUAAUACGUUUUCUUCAUAACUUCUUUACACUACCAGAUGGUGAACGAUAUCAGCUACACCGGUUAAUAAACGUCUCAGUCCCUCACAACUGUUCAUCAGCUACAUUACUACGAACGUCUCUAGAACCACGGAAAGACCAUGUUCACCUACUGACGUUCAACCUUGCUUACGUUAGCCACGAAUACUUAUAUAUGUGGCCAGACGGACCACGAGAGUCUAGGACGAACGAUAUAAAAACGUACAUGUUCUUUUUGUAUCGACGUCAGGGGUUCUCCUUAAGAGACUACACCGCUACCGUUCGGCUUCCUAAACAACUACAUUUUUGACCUACACUUAUAAACUUAUGGGAGUAGUUGGUGUUAUAGUAAGUCGGGUACCUUCAUCCGUGUUUACCUCGACGUUCCUCUACGGCAGGAGGACCUUACCACUGGCUCAUGUAAAGGGUCUAAAGGUUCAGGCUCUUAAAGCGACGAAGCCCCAGACUAGAUCAUCUUUGCGGUUUGUCAGCGUAGGCUGCCGAAAGAAACCUGGGACCGUCACGAUUUCUACUUUCUUAUUAAAGCCCGUACCUUAAUUCAUAUCACGACUGGUACCGUCAAAGUCCUCUUCCUACGUUUCUUUAAGAACUAAAGUUUUCCAUACUCGAUUAACGUCAAAACCUAGACUUUCUUACAUGUUUGGACCUGCUUUCAGUACAGUAUGUAUAUACGUUGGACCACGAGGACUUUAUGGAGUCGGAGCCCCUGUCAUAUCUACUCUAUGGGUUCCGUUAUCGCUUGGACCAUGACAAUCUCUGUGACGUCUACUCCUCCUGUUCUCUUUGUCAUAACCACGUAUCUGUUCAGAACCUCGAUGGGUUGAAUUUUGUAGAGGAACCUUUGAAGUUCGAAUUUUGUUUCGGUCUAUUUCUCGAUACACUAAAGAACCUCUUUUUCUCACAGGAUCUCUACUAAUGUCCAAAACACUGUCUUUGAUCGUUUCCUAAAGGCUUAGACUACACGGUAUACUACGUCAACUCCUUCCACUUUUAUCAAACGCUACGGUCACAGCUGGUUCUUUUACAGUCUCUGUUCUUCCCGUUCGUUUGUCUACUGUUACUGUUCCUAGAACGUUCCCGCUAGUUCCUUAAGUAAGUAUCUCCGAGUCUAUGGGAGCCGACAAGGGAUAGUUACCUGAAGCCCUUACUGCGGCCCGGACAAUCCUACCGUGGUGGGGACCUUAAGGAUUUUACAAGGCCGUCAGAACUGAGAGAGUUUAACGCGCCGCCGACCCCUUGUAAGGUAGACGGAGGACUUGGCAAAUGUUGUUAUUGACCAUAAUGCUUCGACACGGAAAGUGUGUGAACGUUCUCGCCCCUUCUAUAGGAACGGUGAAACUGACUAUACUAAUGUGACCUUAUAGACUUCGACCUUCUUCAUUUAGACCCCGGGGAUUCCUAUCUUAGUCCUUGAAAGGCUUCUGACUACUCCAAUACGGAGUACCCGCUCUGUUCGUCGUUCGUUCCGCUCCCAUAAUGUUAGGUUGUAUUUCGAGACAGGUCAGAACAGAGUGAAGUAGAGUAGAGAUUUCGAGGGUAGAAAUAUCAACUUUUCGGAGGGUUGCCCGGUCUCGGAGUCCAAUCUCUGGUCUAGUGACAUCAACUACGGGUGUAGAGAUUUCCAUUAUUUUCAUUUCCGUUCCUUCAGGUCAAAGGCUAACCCCGUCUCGGAGUGCAACCUCUGGUCUAGAGAGUUAGACUUCUAUUUGUUCAGUUCGAAGUGUACCCUACGGAGCCUACGGAGCUCCUUUAGCGUGAGCUGAGACCUCAGUGUGGUUGGUACGUGCUACGGACCUUUUCUCGACGUUUCCCCGUAGGAUUGUCCGGACCGCAAGACAACUAAGUGUUCCGGCGAGCAUAAGGAGGGUCAAGGUUACGUAUUAAUUCGUGCACGUUUUGCAACAUAAGUAGUAUGUCUAGCCCCGUCACAACUACCUACGAAGUCAAACCUAUACAGGGCAGUACACACGAAGGACAGAAAAGUACUAGUUCAAAUGGUGCAACAAGCGGAAUGGAAAGUGUUUGAUGAGAUCACGAACACGAAGAAUAACAUAGGAAAAACAAAAACACUCUCUCUCUACCUGCUUCUAUACGAACGUUAACGACAUAAAAAUAAUAUAACACUUUUUGAAGAAAGAUAACAACAUAGAAAAAUAAUAAAACACCUUGUAACUUACGUUAACAACAUAGAAAUAAUACAACACCUUCUUUUGAGCGAUAACGACAUGAACUAAUAUAA
RNAcentral lists this ribosomal RNA (3306 nucleotides) under Triticum aestivum (bread wheat). RNAcentral's name for it is "partial small subunit ribosomal RNA". The record is from RNAcentral. Lineage: Eukaryota; Viridiplantae; Streptophyta; Magnoliopsida; Poales; Poaceae.